GGUGAUAACAUCUUUAAUGUCUUACUUCUUCUUUGGGGUCUGGUUAUUCUUUAUUGGUCACAGUUUUUUCAUGGGUCCAGUGUGAC
Mustela erminea (ermine) is the source of this 86-nucleotide long non-coding RNA. RefSeq lists it as uncharacterized. Lineage: Eukaryota; Metazoa; Chordata; Mammalia; Carnivora; Mustelidae. The record is from RefSeq and is a predicted model, not a curated record. The transcript has 3 exons.